UCGAAAUCGGUAGACGCUACGGACUUAAUUGGAUUGAGCCUUGGUAUGGAAAAUCCGUCGACUUUAGAAAUCGUGAGC
This 78-nucleotide transfer RNA is filed under the name Oxalis acetosella (European wood-sorrel). RNAcentral describes it as "partial tRNA-Leu". Lineage: Eukaryota; Viridiplantae; Streptophyta; Magnoliopsida; Oxalidales; Oxalidaceae. The record is from RNAcentral. RNAcentral also lists the same sequence under 2 other names.